AGGGAGCCUGAGAAACGGCUACCACGUCAAAGGAAG
This 36-nucleotide ribosomal RNA is filed under the name Pelobates cultripes (western spadefoot toad). Its description in RNAcentral is "SSU_rRNA_eukarya". Lineage: Eukaryota; Metazoa; Chordata; Amphibia; Anura; Pelobatidae. The record is from RNAcentral.